RNAcentral lists this ribosomal RNA (131 nucleotides) under Danio rerio (zebrafish). The record is from RNAcentral. Lineage: Eukaryota; Metazoa; Chordata; Actinopteri; Cypriniformes; Danionidae.
CCCAACAAUAAUAAUUGUAGAUAGCUAGCUCUCUGCAACUCUCACAGAGUCGCCUACUUAAGCUAAGCAGGGCUCUGCCCAGUCCGUACCUGGAUGGAAGACCACAUGGGAAAGACAGGUUGCUGCUGGAA